UAUGCUGCCCUCCCUGGAAGAGUCUCAGAGCAGCUUACAAUAAAAUUUGGAGAAAUUAUGAAGCCACAUACAAGUAUUAAAUAAUAUGCAAUAGAACAAACUCCCCAGACAGUGCCGCAAAACUUAACCCCACUUGCUGAAGGCCAGCUCAAAUGAAAAAAAGGUCUUACAAGGCUUCCAUAAGAUGUCCAAGCUCAAGCUCUGAUGGAUAGUAAAGUUGGCUGGAAUUUUUUUUAACCAUGAAGUACUGAAAUACCCACCCCUUCUUCCCGUCCACUUGCCGCCUCCUCCCAUCUCACGCUGCAAAAGCAGAAACCAAGGUAAAAAGAUUUUGAAAAAGAAAUAGAUCUGUAUUCUAAAGAGAGGGGAGGGGAGUAUCCAAAAUUCUGGCUAAUAUGGGUGAACCUCAAGCAAGACCUGAUACAACAGCACCUGAAGUGAUGAUAUUUUGAUUACAGCCAGCCCUUUGAGGAGCUUACCCAUUGAAGGCCUGAUCUAGCUGACUGUGCCAAAAAUUUCAUUGCUGACACACAGUAUACAUGCAUGAAAUAUAUAUUGGCCAUGCCUUCAGACCCUACCCAGGAAUGUCCAUUCAUCUGCAUGGUACGCAUCUGUCUUGCAAGACAACAGAAUUGCUUUGAGUGAGACACCAGCUCCCUGAAUGGAAACCUCACUUGAUAAUAAUGUGAAGCUGGAGUGACUGUUCCAGGGGGCAAAAGCCUGGUGGAUACAUUCCAUCACUUCUGGCUGUGUGACGGACAUCUACAGAUGGAAGAACUAAUCAGCAGAGUACUUAAGCAAAUGCCUAAUUAAGCAUGUGAGUAUUCUCGUUGAUGGAGCAUACAAUUCAAGUUAGACACCUGCUUAACUUGGAGGCUGACACAGAGCCUGAGCCUAGAAUUUAGCCCUCUGUUAACUUAAAGGCAGCUACAAAUUUUGAAAGGCUUUCUGGCUUCUUCUUGCCCCCAGUCUCCUCUGUGCUUUCAUAUAUGCAUCUAUUAUGCUCACAAAACAGGCUAGAAGGAAGUGGGAAGGGAGGAGGGAAACAGUGUACAUUAGGCUGUGAAAUGUAAAAAGAGGUUUUUCAAACAGCAUAUUCAAAACGUCACCCUGGAGUCAUACAAUAAUAAAUAUUCAAUAUUACAUUGAAAGGGUUUAAUUGCCAAGUAACUAUGGCAAUGAAGAGAAAAGCCUGUCUUUGGACACAUUCCCUCCUGCAUUAAUUUUUCCCAGGAGGAAGAGAAUGGAUUCUAGAUUGUUAAUGGAUAACGUUUUCCAGAGCCCUCUCCGAUCACUCAGUGACUCCAGGAUUAAAAAGAAGCAGACAGAAUUCUCCAAGGGAAGCUGGACGUUCAAAACAAUUAUGCUGAACAAUUCCAUCUCCUUAGAUGGGGUUGAGUACACCAGGUUCCCGAUGCAAGGCUGUCAAAGGCAUUGAGACCCAUUGUGCAGCAGUGUGACCCCUAGUAAAGUGAGCCUAGCUCUGAAUCCAAAUGCUCACUGCUUCUUCCUCUGUCCCCAAAGAAACAGGCUUUACAGCAAGCCUACGAGCCUGAAAAUGAAACUCAAAGUGUUUGGAAAAUGGAGGGCGGUGCUGGCACAAUGGGACGUGCCACUGGAUCUGUGGUUUUAGAAAACAUUUCUUAAUCCAGGAACCAACAAAGAGUGCUAAAUGGAGGUUGCCUGUACAUGAUUUCACUUAGUGCUGAGCGAGUUUUGUUAUAAUCUUCAUGGUCGCCAUCUUGGUUCAUUAAAAACAAUUGUGGUCGCCACCUU
This is a long non-coding RNA of Gavialis gangeticus (Gharial), 1776 nucleotides long. RefSeq lists it as uncharacterized. NCBI's taxonomy places the organism in Eukaryota, Metazoa, Chordata, Crocodylia, Gavialidae. The transcript is spliced from 3 exons. The record is from RefSeq and is a predicted model, not a curated record.